RNAcentral lists this ribosomal RNA (495 nucleotides) under uncultured bacterium. RNAcentral describes it as "partial 16S ribosomal RNA". It matches the Rfam family "Bacterial small subunit ribosomal RNA", at positions 28 to 507 of the family's 1533-position model. The record is from RNAcentral.
GAUGAACGCUGGCGGCGUGCCUAAUACAUGCAAGUCGAACGCUGAAGGAGGAGCUUGCUCUUCUGGAUGAGUUGCGAACGGGUGAGUAACGCGUAGGUAACCUGCCUGGUAGCGGGGGAUAACUAUUGGAAACGAUAGCUAAUACCGCAUGACAACAGUUAUUGCAUGAUAACUGUUUAAAAGGGGCAACUGCUCCACUACCAGAUGGACCUGCGUUGUCUUAGCUAGUUGGUGAGGUAACGGCUCACCAAGGCGACGAUACAUAGCCGACCUGAGAGGGGGAUCGGCCAAACUGGGACUGAGACACGGCCCAGACUUCUACGGGGAGCAGCAGGAGGGAAUCUUCGGCAAUGGACGGAAGGCUGACCGAGCAACGCCGCGUGAGUGAAGAAGGGUUUCGGAUCGUAAAGCUCUGUUGUAAGAGAAGAACGAGUGUGAGAGUGGAAAGUUCACACUGUGACGGUAUCUUACCAGAAAGAGACGGCUAACUACGUG